GCGGCUCUUUUCCCACAAAGUUCUUGAGUAACAGAAACAUCAUAAACUCUUUCCAAUGACUACAACCUACCAAACUCAUUGGGAAGGGUUUAUGAUGAGGAUGGUGGAGUACAACAGUGACACAAACACUGAAGUACUCCAUUGAAAGAUUAUCCACAUUAGCUAUUGGAGAAACACUCCAAUAUGGUUAAUGAACUACAACAUUUUAUUUAUAGGAGAACAUCAAAAGGGACUUGUAAACCACAAGAGCCCUUGUAAGAAUGUGUCUCCAACUCACAUUAUUACAUACGGUGAUAUUCUGCUACAAAGAAUUCACUAACAACAUAAGUUACUGCUCUGUCACACACAGCAAGGUUUUGGGCAAUUAUGUCCAAAAUCUUUGAUGUGUGUGGAACCAACCCCACCCACACCACCACACCCCCCCCCCCCCCCCCCCCCCCCCCAAAAAAAAAAGAAGCAGUGUCCCAGCAUCCCCAAGUUUUGGAGACUUCAACCUUAAUAGGUAGGUGAACUUGUUGGUACAAAGAAAGACCAGCAAAUGCAAAUGGUUGAAAUCCUAUCCGGAACUCUCUACUAUUCUCUGAAUGCAACGAGUCCAGACGAAGUAAAGAUGUCUUUUCUCAGUAGCAGUCUUUUGGAGAUGGUACUUUCUCUAUCAACACAAACUACAGAUAUUCCUCAGAUCAGUAGUCUUCUUCAACUAGUAUAUCUAUCCUACAAGUCGAAGAACACACAACCUCCGUAUCAACCAAUAUCCAUUCACGUCUUUGCUGCACACAUGGGAGGUGCUUCGAGAAGAAUCUGAGUGCAGAGUAGUAUAACAAGCCAAGGUGAGAAAGAAUCAAGCUGAAAACCAUGACUUUGUCACAGCAGUUAAAUGAAAUAUGUUAUAAUGAAGCUUUGACAUUGAGGAGGCUAUUUGCAUUUCUCACUCAACUGAAUUUGAUUUCUGUUUGCAGGUCAGGAAGCUGCAGCUCAUUGUGUUGCUGUUCAAACUGUUUGAAGCGGGCAUGGAAUGGGCAGCUGGCACCAAAUUGAAGGGUUCUUUUACUUUCCUGGAAGCAUCUCCUAUUGUACUAUAAUAUUUCAACACCAAGUUCUAGUUGUAUAGCCUUAGAGGCUUGCUUUUGUUCCACAGUCGCUAUCAUUAUAGAAGUGGCGCUAUACAGAAGCUUCUGCUACAUGGCUGCUGGAGUCUCAGUUUCCUAUAUUAGUAUAACCAGACACUAGUGUGAUGUUCUGGUUACUGAUAUAGAAUCUUUGAACUCCAUCCUUAAUGGAGUAGUAGUUCCUAGUUACAGUCAUUUCGAAAAUGUACGAUUAUUUUUGUAUUUUGAAGGUCUUAAAACUAUCAAUGACCUACCUUCAGUCUGAAACAUCCUACCCUUUUACCACCAAAAAUUGUAUCCUUGUUAAUAUUGUUUCGAUUAUCAUUGUAUCCUUGUGAAUGUUGU
This 1454-nucleotide long non-coding RNA is filed under the name Prunus dulcis (almond). RNAcentral's name for it is "sRNA ncRNA". The record is from RNAcentral. Lineage: Eukaryota; Viridiplantae; Streptophyta; Magnoliopsida; Rosales; Rosaceae.